Molecule: long non-coding RNA, 1093 nt
Filed under: Homo sapiens (human)
Lineage: Eukaryota; Metazoa; Chordata; Mammalia; Primates; Hominidae
Description: HSALNT0356304
Source: RNAcentral
CCUUGUUCAGCUGAGAGUUCCAGUCUGCAUAUUACUAUGUGCUUGGGGAAUUCUCCUUGACAGAAAUGUUCAGUUGUCUAGCUCACAGGGAUAUCCACAAGCCAGACCCAGAAAGCCUUUGCUACCAUUGAUGAAGAUGCCAAGUCCACAGCCCAACAGCCAGAAGACCCUUGGUCUAGCCCUUGGAUUCAGACUGAAUUGAUAUCGCCAGGUUUCCUGUCUUUUCAGCUUGCAGGCAGCUGAUUGUGGGACUUCUCAGCCUCCUUAAUCAUAUUUUCUUAUCAUUGGCCUUCAACAUUUUUAUCAGGAUAUAUCUGUGUAUAUUGCAGAUUUUACAAAUUGAAGGUUUGUGACAACUCCCUCAAGGAAGUCUGUUGGUGUUAUUUUUCCAACAGCAGGUACUCACUUCAUGUCUCUGUGUCACAUUUUGGCCUUUAAACCAAGAGAAGACAUACCUGAGCAAUUGAACCAGAAGGGAUGAGCCCCACCUGGAUCUGAUGCAGAUUAAAAUAUCUUGGACCUUGGGCCUGAGCUUGGAAUGGAAUGAGACCUUUGAGGAUCUUAGUGGGGAAUCCCCUUGUCAUAAAACCAAUGCAUAAGAUACAACUGCAUCCAAUGUAUUCCAGGGAAAGAUUCUCUGCAGAUGACUCAAGGAAAGCCACAGGAGCAACAGGGAAACUGAAAGAACAAAUAUCACAGUUGAUUCAGAAGGGCAGCCCCACAUUUUUAAGUGAUACCCAACCAUUGUGAACAAGCUCUGUCAACACCAUCUGCUCCACAAAGGAAAGUUGCUGAUUAUUGCAUCUCUAAGUGGAGUCGGUUCUCUCCCACGAUAGCAGAAGGCUUUCACAUUCACUAUACUGUUAUGGACAUGGAGGAUGGGAACCAUUGCUUUGUUUACUCUGCAACUUCUUAAUUAUAUCACAAAAGACUCGACACAUAAGCAGUAUCCAGAAAAGCAAGUCGACUACAUAAAAAUCAAUGCAUGAUUGUCUAUAGCCUUUGACAUACUAGGACCAGUCAAGAUAUGUGUGGAGGGUAAUGAAGAAUGGGCAAAUACCAGAGAAAAGACAGCUGAGUGUCCAUGAUAAAG